GACAGAGGGUGCAACCGUUGUUCGGAAUUACUGGGCGUAAAGCGCACGCAGGCGGUUCGCCAAGUUUGGAGUGACAGUUGUCGGCUCAACCGAUAAAGGACUUCAAAAACUGGUGAACUUGAGGACGAGAGAGGAACAUGGAACUCCAGGUGUAGUAGUGAAAUGCGUAGAUAUCUGGAAGAACACCAAUGGCGAAGGCAAUGUUCUGGCUCGUUUCUGACGCUCAGGUGCGAAAGCCAGGGGAGCGAACGGG
This 253-nucleotide ribosomal RNA is filed under the name uncultured bacterium. Its description in RNAcentral is "partial 16S ribosomal RNA". It matches the Rfam family "Bacterial small subunit ribosomal RNA", at positions 524 to 776 of the family's 1533-position model. The record is from RNAcentral.